Molecule: ribosomal RNA, 447 nt
Filed under: uncultured bacterium
Lineage: Bacteria
Description: partial 16S ribosomal RNA
Rfam family: Bacterial small subunit ribosomal RNA
Source: RNAcentral
AGCGAACGCUGGCGGCAGGCUUAACACAUGCAAGUCGAACGCCCCGCAAGGGGAGUGGCAGACGGGUGAGUAACACGUGGGAACGUACCCUUUGGUUCGGAAUAACUUGGGGAAACUCAAGCUAAUACCGGAUAAGCCCUUAUGGGGAAAGGUUUACUGCCGAAGGAUCGGCCCGCGUCUGAUUAGCUAGUUGGUGAGGUAAUGGCUCACCAAGGCGACGAUCAGUAGCUGGUCUGAGAGGAUGAUCAGCCACACUGGGACUGAGACGCGGCCCAGACUCCUACGGGAGGCAGCAGUGGGGAAUAUUGGACAAUGGGGGCAACCCUGAUCCAGCCAUGCCGCGUGAGUGAUGAGGGCCUUAGGGUUGUAAAGCUCUUUUACCCGGGACGAUAAUGACUGUACCGGGAGAAUAAGCCCCGGCUAACUUCGUGCCAGCCGCCGCAGUAA